AGUGAACGCUGGCGGUAGGCCUAACACAUGCAAGUCGAACGGCAGCACAGUAAGAGCUUGCUCUUACGGGUGGCGAGUGGCGGACGGGUGAGGAAUACAUCGGAAUCUACUUUUUCGUGGGGGAUAACAUAGGGAAACUUACGCUAAUACCGCAUACGACCUACGGGUGAAAGCAGGGGAUCUUCGGACCUUGCGCGAUUGAAUGGGCCGAUGUCGGAUUAGCUAGUUGGCGGGGUAAAGGCCCACCAAGGCGACGAUCCGUAGCUGGUCUGAGAGGAUGAUCAGACACACUGGAACUGAGACACGGUCCAGACUCCUACGGGAGGCAGCAGUGGGGAAUAUUGGACAAUGGGCGCAAGCCUGAUCCAGCCAUACCGCGUGGGUGAAGAAGGCCUUCGGGUUGUAAAGCCCUUUUGUUGGGAAAGAAAAGCAGCAGGUUAAUACCCCGCUGUUCUGACGGUACCCAAAGAAUAAGCACCGGCUAACUUCGUG
Molecule: ribosomal RNA, 492 nt
Filed under: uncultured bacterium
Lineage: Bacteria
Description: partial 16S ribosomal RNA
Rfam family: Bacterial small subunit ribosomal RNA
Source: RNAcentral